RNAcentral lists this long non-coding RNA (1368 nucleotides) under Homo sapiens (human). RNAcentral describes it as "HSALNT0147332". Lineage: Eukaryota; Metazoa; Chordata; Mammalia; Primates; Hominidae. The record is from RNAcentral.
UGUGGGGUGGGCGCCAGCCCGGCCUCUUAGAGCUGCCUUGUAUGUGGGACCAAAUAGGACAGAAUGUGUGCAAGCAAGUGUGUUAUGCUGCACGUUUGAUAUAAGUUUUUCGCAUAUCUGAGCUCUUACGUUCCCCAAAUGCAUAAUUUUUCAAAGCUUUACGCUUCCUAGCUUCUGUUUUUUUGAAUAACAGUGAAAUGCGGCAUUUGUAUAAAUUGAGAGGAAACCUGGAUGCUUAAUUUUUUUUUUCCUCUACAAAACAAUAAUUGUUAUCCCACAUUAUGUAGUAGAUACUUCAGUUACAAUUUUGGUUCAUAUUUUCAAAUUUGUUACAAUUUCAAACGCAAAAUAUUUGUCUUUACUAGAUUGUUACUUUAUUAUGUAAAUGAUAUAUUCUAAAUUUUUGGCUUGAAAUGCCUUUGUUUUCCACAAUUUUAAAAAUGGCUACAUAAUUUUCCAAUAACUAUACAUACUAUAGUUUCCUUUGCCCAUUGGUUUGUUCCUGAAUGUGUACCUUCUUAUCCUCCAUUGUUUUAUAGACUCGGUAGUAAACUUAUACAAUCUGGUAGCAAAAUUUUAGCCCUGUUAUGGAUAAUAUUUAGUAAAAUACUGAUCCAAGACAAUAUUUCCAAAAUAUUAUCACCAACAAUGUUUGUGUCUUUCCCUUCUUCUGACUUUUCCCUUUGGAUGGCAGCAAAAUUCAGAAGGCUUAGACUACCACUGUCCUCCACAAGGUGCUCCAGCAGAUUGUCACCUUAUUCAACACAAGAGGUUGGUUGGAAUGAAACUGGCCUGGAGAAAUUAUUCACUGAAUUUUUAUCAGCAUUGGGAAGUCCUGGAGCCCUGCUUGUUGAAUGAGUUAGGGGUGGAAGGGCUCUCUCAGGCCAUGACAACUCCCUAAUGCUGUGAAGAGCUACUUCCAAGGAAUCAGUCUCUAUCUGGAAAAGAAAGAAGAGAGCCUCUGUACAUGGGAAGUUGGAGCAAGAAAUCAUGAGAUCCUUCUUUUUUUCAUCAAACUUGCAAGUAAGAUUAAUAGCUUAGGAACAGACUUGUGUCUUCAUGAAAUGAUUACUAUAGACACUCUUCAUUAUAUUCCCAUAUGUUUAGUUAUUUUAAAAGACUAUCUUUUCUGCCUGCAUAAUGAAAUGAUUGAAUCAAAUUUGUCACAAUACUUGUUGGUAAUGUCAAGCAACUGUAUGAUAAAGCAUCCAGUUCUUAGGGGCAUUAGCUCACCAUGGAUGAUAUUAUUAAUUUACCCAUGUACUUAAUUAUUGAUUCUACUACAUUUAUUGUAUUCAGUAUUUUUGCUUGUAUGAAAUGUUCACUUUUAACACUGUGCUAAUUACAUUAAAAAGUGUUCACUUUAUG